GCGCGAAAACUUUACAAUACUGGCAACAGCGAUAAGGGAACCUCGAGUGCCAGGUUACAAAUCUGGCUGUCGAGAUGCCUAAAAAGCAUUUCAUAGCAAGGGCCGGGCAAGACCGGUGCCAGCCGCCGCGGUAACACCGGCGGCUCGAGUGGUAACCGUUAUUAUUGGGUCUAAAGGGUCUGUAGCCGGCCGGAUAAGUCUCUUGAGAAAUCUGGCAGCUUAACUGUCAGGCUUUCAGGAGAUACUGUCUGGCUCGAGGCCGGGAGAGGUGAGAGGUACUUCAGGGGUAGGGGCGAAAUCUUGUAAUCCUUGAAGGACCACCAGUGGCGAAGGCGUCUCACCAGAGCGGACCUGACGGCAAGGGACGAAAGCUAGGGGCACGAACC
This 386-nucleotide ribosomal RNA is filed under the name uncultured prokaryote. Its description in RNAcentral is "bacterial SSU rRNA". It matches the Rfam family "Archaeal small subunit ribosomal RNA", at positions 339 to 725 of the family's 1478-position model. The record is from RNAcentral.